RNAcentral lists this ribosomal RNA (332 nucleotides) under uncultured bacterium. RNAcentral's name for it is "bacterial SSU rRNA". It matches the Rfam family "Bacterial small subunit ribosomal RNA", at positions 568 to 898 of the family's 1533-position model. The record is from RNAcentral.
CACGUAGGCGGUGACGUAAGUCGGUUGUGAAAUCCCUCGGCCUAACCGAGGAACUGCGGCCGAUACUGCGUUGCUUGAGGACCAGAGGGGUGGCAUGGAAUUUCCGGUGGAGCGGUGAAAUGCGUUGAUAUCGGAAGGAACUCCGGCGGCGAAAGCGAUGCACUGGCUGGUUACUGACGCUGAGGUGCGAAAGCCAGGGGAGCAAACGGGAUUAGAUACCCCGGUAGUCCUGGCCGUAAACGAUGGGUACUAGGUAGGGGGAUUUCAAACGUCUCUCUGCUGGAGUGAAUAUAUUAAGUACCCCGCCUGGGAAGUACAGUCGCAAGGCUGAA